Molecule: unclassified non-coding RNA, 355 nt
Filed under: uncultured fungus
Lineage: Eukaryota; Fungi
Description: sequence contains ITS1
Rfam family: 5.8S ribosomal RNA (bases 1-99)
Source: RNAcentral
GAAAUGCGAUACGUCAUGCGAAUUGCAAAACCAGUGAGUCAUCAAAACUUUGAACGCAACUUGCACUUCCCUUUGGGGAGUAUGUCUGUUGGAGUGCUUGUUCAUCCCCACCACAAACCCCAUUCCUUAUAAAGAGUGGGAUAAGUGAAGACCGACGAUUUAUCCCAGUCUAACUGAGAUUAAUUGAUCGUAGAUGAAUUUAUAACAAAAUAUCCGAUCCUUGUAUUCAAAUUUAUUUGAAUAUAGGAACGCGACGUCAUAGUUUUAUUACUUGAUCCCCGUGUUUCUAUUAAAGGUCUGAGGUUAUUUUUUUCGAUCGAGCCUCCAAUCAGUCAAGAAUACCCGCUGAAUUUAA